Small nuclear RNA from Bison bison bison, 107 nucleotides. Lineage: Eukaryota; Metazoa; Chordata; Mammalia; Artiodactyla; Bovidae. The record is from Ensembl.
GUGCAGGCUUUGGCAGCACAUAUACUAAAAUUGGAAUCACACAGAGAAGAUUAGCAUGACCCCUGUGCAAGGAUGGCACACACAUUUCAGAAGCAUUCUAUAUUUUU